Molecule: ribosomal RNA, 740 nt
Filed under: Escherichia coli
Lineage: Bacteria; Pseudomonadati; Pseudomonadota; Gammaproteobacteria; Enterobacterales; Enterobacteriaceae
Description: partial 23S ribosomal RNA
Rfam family: Bacterial large subunit ribosomal RNA
Source: RNAcentral
GUGAACCAGUACCGUGAGGGAAAGGCGAAAAGAACCCCGGCGAGGGGAGUGAAAAAGAACCUGAAACCGUGUACGUACAAGCAGUGGGAGCACGCUUAGGCGUGUGACUGCGUACCUUUUGUAUAAUGGGUCAGCGACUUAUAUUCUGUAGCAAGGUUAACCGAAUAGGGGAGCCGAAGGGAAACCGAGUCUUAACUGGGCGUUAAGUUGCAGGGUAUAGACCCGAAACCCGGUGAUCUAGCCAUGGGCAGGUUGAAGGUUGGGUAACACUAACUGGAGGACCGAACCGACUAAUGUUGAAAAAUUAGCGGAUGACUUGUGGCUGGGGGUGAAAGGCCAAUCAAACCGGGAGAUAGCUGGUUCUCCCCGAAAGCUAUUUAGGUAGCGCCUCGUGAAUUCAUCUCCGGGGGUAGAGCACUGUUUCGGCAAGGGGGUCAUCCCGACUUACCAACCCGAUGCAAACUGCGAAUACCGGAGAAUGUUAUCACGGGAGACACACGGCGGGUGCUAACGUCCGUCGUGAAGAGGGAAACAACCCAGACCGCCAGCUAAGGUCCCAAAGUCAUGGUUAAGUGGGAAACGAUGUGGGAAGGCCCAGACAGCCAGGAUGUUGGCUUAGAAGCAGCCAUCAUUUAAAGAAAGCGUAAUAGCUCACUGGUCGAGUCGGCCUGCGCGGAAGAUGUAACGGGGCUAAACCAUGCACCGAAGCUGCGGCAGCGACGCUGAUGCGUUGUUGGGUA